This 208-nucleotide ribosomal RNA is filed under the name Candidatus Phytoplasma mali. RNAcentral's name for it is "partial 16S ribosomal RNA". It matches the Rfam family "Bacterial small subunit ribosomal RNA", at positions 424 to 649 of the family's 1533-position model. Lineage: Bacteria; Bacillati; Mycoplasmatota; Mollicutes; Acholeplasmatales; Acholeplasmataceae. RNAcentral also lists the same sequence under 5 other names. The record is from RNAcentral.
UGUAAAAUUCUUUCACCGGGGACGAUAAUGACGGUACCCGGAGAAGAAGCCCCGGCUAACUCCGUGCCAGCAGCCGCGGUAAUACGAAGGGGGCUAGCGUUGCUCGGAAUUACUGGGCGUAAAGGGAGCGUAGGCGGACAUUUAAGUCAGGGGUGAAAUCCCGGGGCUCAACCUCGGAAUUGCCUUUGAUACUGGGUGUCUUGAGUAU